Non-coding RNA from Stegodyphus mimosarum, 71 nucleotides. NCBI's taxonomy places the organism in Eukaryota, Metazoa, Arthropoda, Arachnida, Araneae, Eresidae. The record is from Rfam.
GCCUUCGUGGUGUAACGGUAGCAUACUCGGAGCAUAUUCGAGAGGUCCAGGUUCGAGUCCCGACGAGGACA